CCAACGGCCCUUUUCAGGGCCCCAAAUAUCCAAGAAAGAAUUCAA
Molecule: non-coding RNA, 45 nt
Organism: Strongylocentrotus purpuratus (purple sea urchin)
Lineage: Eukaryota; Metazoa; Echinodermata; Echinoidea; Camarodonta; Strongylocentrotidae
Source: Rfam